Molecule: ribosomal RNA, 384 nt
Filed under: uncultured bacterium
Lineage: Bacteria
Description: bacterial SSU rRNA
Rfam family: Bacterial small subunit ribosomal RNA
Source: RNAcentral
UCAGGCCUAACACAUGCAAGUCGAACGGGAUCUUCGGAUCUAGUGGCGGACGGGUGAGUAACGCGUGGGAACGUGCCCUUUGCUUCGGAAUAGCCCCGGGAAACUGGGAGUAAUACCGGAUGAGCCCUACGGGGGAAAGAUUUAUCGGCGAAGGAUCGGCCCGCGUUGGAUUAGGUAGUUGGUGGGGUAAUGGCCUACCAAGCCGACGAUCCAUAGCUGGUUUGAGAGGAUGAUCAGCCACACUGGGACUGAGACACGGCCCAGACUCUUACGGGAGGCAGCAGUGGGGAAUCUUAGGCGAUGGGGGAAACCCUGAUCUAGCCAUGCCGCGUAUGCAAUGAAGGCCUUAGGGUUGUAAAGCUCUUUCAGCUGGAAGAUAAUGAC